UGCAGUCGAACGAUGAUGCCCAGCUUGCUGGGCGGAUUAGUGGCGAACGGGUGAGUAAUACGUGAGUAACCUGCCCUUGACUCUGGGAUAAGCCUGGGAAACUGGGUCUAAUACUGGAUACUACCUCUCACCGCAUGGUGGGUGGUGGAAAGGGUUUUACUGGUUUUGGAUGGGCUCACGGCCUAUCAGCUUGUUGGUGGGGUAAUGGCUCACCAAGGCGACGACGGGUAGCCGGCCUGAGAGGGUGACCGGCCACACUGGGACUGAGACACGGCCCAGACUCCUACGGGAGGCAGCAGUGGGGAAUAUUGCACAAUGGGCGGAAGCCUGAUGCAGCGACGCCGCGUGAGGGAUGACGGCCUUCGGGUUGUAAACCUCUUUCAGUAGGGAAGAAGCGAGAGUGACGGUACCUGCAGAAGAAGCGCCGGCUAACUACGUGCCAGCAGCCGCGGUAAUACGUAGGGCGCAAGCGUUGUCCGGAAUUAUUGGGCGUAAAGAGCUCGUAGGCGGUUUGUCGCGUCUGCUGUGAAAGCCCGGGGCUCAACCCCGGGUCUGCAGUGGGUACGGGCAGACUAGAGUGCAGUAGGGGAGACUGGAAUUCCUGGUGUAGCGGUGAAAUGCGCAGAUAUCAGGAGGAACACCGAUGGCGAAGGCAGGUCUCUGGGCUGUUACUGACGCUGAGGAGCGAAAGCAUGGGGAGCGAACAGGAUUAGAUACCCUGGUAGUCCAUGCCGUAAACGUUGGGCACUAGGUGUG
RNAcentral lists this ribosomal RNA (756 nucleotides) under Kocuria sp. qm18. RNAcentral describes it as "bacterial SSU rRNA". It matches the Rfam family "Bacterial small subunit ribosomal RNA", at positions 56 to 824 of the family's 1533-position model. The record is from RNAcentral. Lineage: Bacteria; Bacillati; Actinomycetota; Actinomycetes; Micrococcales; Micrococcaceae.